AGUGAACGCUGGCGGUAGGCCUAACACAUGCAAGUCGAACGGCAGCACAGUAAGAGCUUGCUCUUACGGGUGGCGAGUGGCGGACGGGUGAGGAAUACAUCGGAAUCUACUUUUUCGUGGGGGAUAACGUAGGGAAACUUACGCUAAUACCGCAUACGACCUACGGGUGAAAGCAGUGGAUCUUCGGACCUUGCGCGAUUGAAUGAGCCGAUGUCGGAUUAGCUAGUUGGCGGGGUAAAGGCCCACCAAGGCGACGAUCCGCAGCUGGUCUGAGAGGAUGAUCAGCUCCACUGGAACUGAGCCACGCUCUCGACCCCUACGGGAGGCAGCAGUGCGGAAUAUUGGACAAUGGGCGCAAGCCUGAUCCAGCCAUACCGCGUGGGUGAAGAAGGCCUUCGGGUUGUAAGGCCCUUUUGUUGGGAAAGAAAAGCAGCAGGUUAAUACCCCGCUGUUCUGACGGUACCCAAAGAAUAAGCACCGGCUAACUUCGUG
RNAcentral lists this ribosomal RNA (492 nucleotides) under uncultured bacterium. RNAcentral describes it as "partial 16S ribosomal RNA". It matches the Rfam family "Bacterial small subunit ribosomal RNA", at positions 29 to 507 of the family's 1533-position model. The record is from RNAcentral.